UUUAUUUAGGCCACCAUUUGUGUGUGUAUGUGUGUGUUUUCGUGAGUGUGUAUGUACAUUGCAGCUAAAUGUAAUUGCUGACAGGUAUUUCUAUGCUUGUUACCCAAGCAGCACACCCCAUAGUUUUUCUUCCUCUCCCUCACUAAACAUAUUCUAAUUCGUGGAUUAUCCUUUGGAAAUAGCCCUAGGCCCUGGAAACAUAAUAUAAAACCAGGACAAGAGUAUCCAUUCUACACUCACAGAUUUGUUAAAAUUAAACAGUUUAACUAUACCAAGUGUGGGUAAGCACAUGUAGAAUGGAAAAUCCUCUUUCGCCUAUGGGAAUAUCAUUUGGAACAACCACUUCAGAGAAUAAUUUGGCAAGAAAUAGUUUGGUUUAAGAUGUUCAAACCUUAUGAGUCCAUAAACCAGCAGUUCUAUUUCCAAAUAUGUAAAAGUCUCAUAUACACGUAUUAGGAGGUAGGUAUGCUCUGUUCCCCACUCUGUUGUUUGUUAGAACAAAAAAUUGGAAUGAACUUCAAUGUUCAUGAACAAGAUAUGGAUGAGUGAUUGUGUAUUCAAUCAACUAAAUUCUCUAGAGCUUAAAAUGAAAAACCUAGAACUACAUGGGUUGUGAUAGGUAAAUCUCAAGAAUAAUGUUGAACAAAAAGAGUCAAAUUGUGGGGUAUAUACAGCCUGAUGCCAUUUAUAUAGUUGGAAAAAGUACAAGUCAAAUUUAUUCAUUAGUAUCCUUCUCUGUUAUACCUGCUGUUUCUGCCCCUAUUUGAUUCUCAUCAUUUUUCACCCAGUACACUGGUAAGAGCUCAGUAAUUUAUCUUUUUUUCAAUUCUCUCCAUCCCAGUUCACUUUAAACACUGCCACCAGUCCAGUGUUCUGCUUAAAAAUUCUUGGGUUUUCUACCACAUAUGAGAUAAUGCAGUCCAGGGGUACCUGGGUGGCUCUGUUGGUUAAGUGUCCAAUUUUUUUUAAUCUCAGCUCAGGUCUUAGUCUCAGAAUUGUGAGUUCAAGCCCCAUGUUGGGCUCCAAGCUGGGUGUGGAGCCGACUUAGGAAAAAAAAAAAAGAUAAUGAAGACCAAAAUUCUAGUAUGAUAUUUAAAAUUGUUUCUAGAAUCAUCUCCCUUCAAAUAUUCCCUGUCCUAUAGGUUCCUGUCAUCCAGCAGGUCCUUGGAGUUCCUGUGUCUAUAGCAGUUUCUCUGACUAGAAUGACUCUCUCCUCUUUCCUCAUUCCUUUCCACUUGGUGGAAGCCCAAAUAGAAGUUUUCAAGGCCCAGAUCCAGAGUCAUCCUUUGGCUAGAAUACUUCCACCUUCUUGCUCCUAGACAAAAUUGAUGUUUUACUCUGCUGUCUGACUUUCUUCUUGCUGGUGGUGUAAGAGCUUGGCAUGUUGUAUUGCAGUUUGAUCUUGUUAAGAGGGAGAUAUUUGUCUUCUGCAUUUUGAGGUCCCUAGAGUCCUUUUGCAUAUUUAGCCUGCAGUCUGUGAUGAUUGAAGGUUGUAUCAAAAGAAUGUAGUGGGUUUUUUGUUUUUUGUUUUGUAAAUUGUGAGAGGAAGAGUUAGCCCUAAAUAGUCUAUAUUCAGUGUCUCAGCUUCCUUUGGAAAAUUCACACAUUUUCUAACACACCGGGCUUCAGGAGGAAGGCCUUUUCAAGUUCAUAUUUUACUAGAACUGGUAGCCUGAGGCCCAUUCAUUAUAAAGUUGAUUGACAUUGCUUUUUAGGGGAGUGAUAAAAAGGAUUGUAUUGGAGUUAUAAAAGUUAACUUUUCAACCAGAAGAAACCUAAGAAUGAAUUAAGUGGUGAUUUAAAAAAAAAAGAUUCCCUCUUUGAGAAUGUAUGUGCUUUUGUUGUUGUUGUUGUUUUGGGAUUUCUUUUUCUGGGCAUACUGGGAUAUAUAAUUAUACAAAAAUAAGAUCCUCUUCUAAUGACUGUUUUAUAACUUCUUUAAACUUAGUCUUUUUGGAAUAUUUGUCCAUGUCAAUGAAUAGAGCUUCAUCAUCAUUCUUUUUAAAUACAGACAUAAAUUAUAUUCUAAAUUGCAUAAAUGUUAAGUGUACAGCAUAACCAUCACCCAGAUCAAGAUAGAGAACAUGUACUAGUACUGCAAAAGGCUCCAUUUUAGUUCCUUUGUGGUGAUGGAACAGUUCUGUCUUAGUUGUGGUGGGUACCCGAAAAUAUAUGUGAUAAAAUUUUGUAGAACUAUAUACAAUGCACGUACAUGCACACAAAAUGAGUGCAUGUAAAAGCUGGUGAAAUCAGAAUAGACUCUAGUCUAGCUAAUUGUAUUGUGCCAAUGGUAAUUUCCUGAUUUUGGCUAAUUACAUGUAAGAUAGUACCAUUGGUGGGAGCUAGGUGAAGGACACACUGAACACUCUACACUGUUUUGGCAACUUCUUGUGAUUCCAUAAUUAUUUUUUUUAAGUUAAUAAAAAUCUUCAUGCCUGUUUUAUUAUUUUACUGGAAGUCUUAUAGGUUACUGUAUAGAUAUAUAAUAGCUUAUAUAACCAAUUCUCUAUUCAUUUUCUGGAGUUUUUACUCAUAAACAGCUUUAUGCUUGUAUACAAUGCAAGCAACCAUGUAUGUAUUCUUCAAGGUGUCUUAUCUUAAAAAAGAAAAAGCUACUACAGGGUUCUUGAAAUCAUUUUUCAAUGACUACAUGCAAUUUUCAAGAUCACGCAUUACAUAAAGUGAGACAAACCUGUGCGGUGGGGAAAAUCAACUCUCCCAGGAAGAAGGCAUUUCAGCAAAAUUGUAAUUUAUGGCUUUUCCAUCUGCCUGAAGCCCAAGGAAUAGAAGAUCUAAAUGAAAGUGCAGCCUAACUGAAACAUAGGUCAUUACAUUGUUUUUUUAAGGGCGAACUGUUUCUAGAAGAUUCUCUCAAAGGUAAGCUGUAUGGUAAACUCAGUUUUACAAUCUUUAUUUUAAGGAUAAAGCCAUCUGAGUAAUUAAACUAAAUUUUCCUGAUGUUCUUUUUAUCCUGAUUUUUUUUUUUUCAAGUAAGCCCUAUGCCCACUGUGAGGCUUGAACUCAUGACCCCAAGAUGAAGAGUUGCAUGCUCUAUGGGCUGAGGCAGUCAGACACCCCUGGAUCCCUCAUUCUGAUUUUCAAUCUGAUUUUCAGAAGACCAGCCUGGACACAAGCUUAUGGAAACCAUGAUGUACUUUUUGCUACUCCUGAGUGGCUGAGAGGGAAAAGAUAGAUAUAUUUUUGGCAAAGCACCUGUGAAAUGAGGGUUGUUGUUUUCCAUUUUGGCUCAGCAGAUAUCAUAUGCUCUAAUAAUUGAUGAAGGUAUUUUUUGUUGUUGCUGUUUUUUGACAAUUGUUUUCAUUUCACCUCUAUUAUUGGCAAUUUUUUUCUUGAUCCCGGAACUCAGUAAUUUGUCAUUAACUCACAACAUGAAAGGAAUAUACUGAAAAGAUUAUUGCUUCUCCAGCAAAGACUCACACUUGUUGGUGAGAUCAGUGUUGAGCAUGCUGUGGUUAUCUAACUAAUAUUUGAAUAAAAAAAGCUUUGAGGUCAUUGAUAUUGAUGAUUUUCACGGGACCUUCAUUGAAGUUGUGAAAUUUAUCUUUUCACCUGUAAAAAAACUGCUCUCACAUGACCAUAUUUCCCAUGACUUCUAAACUCUUACUUUCAACUCCAGCUGAGAAAAUUGACUUUCUCUCCCAGUCCCAUUUUAGCGCAGUUACACAUAUGGCCUGCCUUUUCUCAUCAGCUUCAUCACAUUCUGUCUCUUCCUUCUUAUAAACUUUGCUUUUCUCGUUUUAUCCACAGAGCUAUUUCUAGACUAAACCACUGUAAUGCCAGUGAAUCUUUGUGUUUAUUGUUUUACCCUUUCAAUUUAGGCCGUAUGUAACUCUUGUAUGUAUCUUUGCAUAGGUAUAUUUGACUCCCUCUUUGGCUGGAAUACGAAAUUCUGAUAGCAAAAGCAGAUAGUGAUUAACUUUGUGAAUUACCCAUCUGUUUAUUUGUCUAAUAACUAAUUAUGUAAAUGUUGACUUCAGAAGAAAACUGGAGCAUAUGCAAAUACUUGCCUCAACUGGAAUUUAAGGUAGAUUAAUUAUGGAAAAGCAAAUUUUCUUUUUCUUUGCACACUUAAUUUAAACAUGCUUAAACUUUUGCUCAACUCUUAGUUUUCCUUGGGAACAGGAGUAUGAUCAGAAAUAUCAUUAAUGACCUAAGUGUUCUAUGUUGUGGGGUUAUUCAAGUUUGGGUUUUUAUUUUAUUUUUAUUUUUUUUAUUAAAAAAUAUUUUUUUGUAAAUUUUAUUUAUUUAUGAUAGUCACACAGAGAGAGAGAGAGAGAGAGAGAGAGAGAGAGGCAGAGACAUAGGCAGAGAGAGAAGCAGGCUCCAUGCACUGGGAGCCCGACGUGGGAUUCGAUCCGGGUCUCUAGGAUCGCGCCCUGGGCCAAAGGCAGGCGCUAAACCGCUGUGCCACCCAGGGAUCCCAAGUUUGGGUUUUUAGACUGGCCUAUGAAUGUCGAUCUCUUUACAGUUUUCUGAGUAUUUUUGUUCUUCUUUACAUGUUCUGCUUCUUUUAAACUAUUCCUCGACAUAAGAUAGUUACGCACAUAAAAUUCAUUUAGCAAAUUUUGGGACUAAAUCAGAGCCUUUGAGAGAGAAGACAUUCUCAAGAGCUUUUGUUUACAUGGUUGCUUUUUACCUUUAUGGGUCUGUUGCAUUUGAACUCUAGGACAGUGUUAAUAAAUUGUCAGGCUGAAUUACCUCAUAUUUGACUUCCUUUUUGGGAGUUUGCAGGUGAUACUAAUGAUCUUUCUCUCCUUGAAAAUGUGUAAUGAAUGUCCUCUGUAUUCUUCAUUGUAACCUUGGGCCGUGAAACCCCCUCUCAGCUGGGCCCCAGUUCUGCAGGCCUGUGCCUGCUUGGCCUGUUAUUACUCCAUGAAUCAUUGCUGGCCUUAUUAAACUAUUUUGGGCUGCAGGCUUUCCAUUCUCCUCCCGUGAACCGUGAAGAUUGGAGCUGCUGCAGCAGCAUAGGCCCAGCGUGGAAUCUGAAUGUGAAGGAAAGAAGUUUCACUGGUUUGGAAUAUAGCAUUCUACCUCAGAGAACAGUAAGGUGUCUGCCCUCUAAGACCCCUUUGUGUCGUGAAAUGUUUUUGUUUUAAAAA
Molecule: long non-coding RNA, 5120 nt
Filed under: Canis lupus familiaris (dog)
Lineage: Eukaryota; Metazoa; Chordata; Mammalia; Carnivora; Canidae
Description: lncRNA (ENSCAFG00000058492.1)
Source: RNAcentral